RNAcentral lists this long non-coding RNA (469 nucleotides) under Homo sapiens (human). RNAcentral describes it as "non-protein coding ADNP-AS1:14". Lineage: Eukaryota; Metazoa; Chordata; Mammalia; Primates; Hominidae. The record is from RNAcentral.
GCGGCGGGCGCAGCAGAGCGGCGGGCGGCGGCGGCGUCGUCGAGCGACAAUACAAGCGCCUCGGACCGAGUCCCCGAACCUGCCCUAGCCAAAAUGGCGGCCGAGAAAGAGCGGAAGUGACGUUAAAGAGGCUUUUGUAUACUGGAGAUAUAACCAAAAAAGGUCUAAGGUGACUUUACGCAGAGAUUGAAGGAUGAGCAGCAGAUGGUCAUCAAGGAGCAUGGAAACAGCAUUUCAGGCAAAGGAAAAUGGAACUCUGUGAACUCAGAAGCAUGCUAUGGCAUGGAAAGCAAAAAGGAAGGAGCACAAGGCAGAGGCCACCUCUCCAGGAAAGGCACCAACUAUCCAACUGCUCCAUCCACAGACUGCAGGUAACAAAUCACGGAAAGCAAAACCAUGGACAAGGAGACUAUGAUACUUAUAAUUUUCAGAAUCUUCAAAGGUUUAUAUAAAAUAUUAGAGUAUUAUG